This 369-nucleotide ribosomal RNA is filed under the name uncultured organism. Its description in RNAcentral is "bacterial SSU rRNA". It matches the Rfam family "Bacterial small subunit ribosomal RNA", at positions 526 to 896 of the family's 1533-position model. The record is from RNAcentral.
CGAAGGGUGCAAGCGUUGUUCGGAAUCACUGGGCGUAAAGCGCGCGUAGGCGGCUUGCCAAGUCAGAGGUGAAAUGCCGGGGCUUAACCCCGGAACUGCCUUUGAAACUGGCGAGCUAGAGUGUUGGAGGGGAUGGCGGAAUUCCUAAUGUAGAGGUGAAAUUCGUAGAUAUUAGGAGGAACACCGGUGGCGAAGGCGGCCAUCUGGACAACAACUGACGCUGAGGCGCGAAAGCGUGGGGAUCAAACAGGAUUAGAUACCCUGGUAGUCCACGCCGUAAACGAUGGAUGCUAGCCGUUGGGGGGUUACCCUCCAGUGGCGUAGCUAACGCGUUAAGCAUCCCGCCUGGGGAGUACGGUCGCAAGAUUA